GCCGAGGUGGCGGAAUUGGUAGACGCAGCGGAUUCAAAAUCCGCCGGUGGUGACACCUUGAGGGUUCAAGUCCCUCUCUCGGUACCA
Molecule: transfer RNA, 87 nt
Filed under: Ferrimonas sediminum
Lineage: Bacteria; Pseudomonadati; Pseudomonadota; Gammaproteobacteria; Alteromonadales; Ferrimonadaceae
Also listed under: 2 other names
Description: tRNA_Leu_CAA
Rfam family: tRNA
About the family: Transfer RNA (tRNA) molecules are approximately 80 nucleotides in length. Their secondary structure includes four short double-helical elements and three loops (D, anti-codon, and T loops).
Source: RNAcentral